AGGACAUUCCAUUGGGCUAGAGAGGGAGAACUACUCAGCUGGCUUACUGAAAGACACAGGUGUGGGACUUCAUCAGCAGAUGCAAGCCUGGAGCCACCUCACAGCAGAGAGGAGUAGGAACUCUGAGUAUGGAAGCCCCUUCCUCUCCUACACCAAGUUACUCACAGCACCAUGAUGGGCAGCAGUAGAAGGAUUAGAAACCACACCGCCCUGAUAAGAGUUGAAAUUUGCUUCAACUGGCUCUUAAGCUGACAUGAGAUUGUGCUAGUUGGAAGAUACCAAGAUACUCUUAAAAGAGAAGAUGAAGUUCUCUUGUUUCAACCCCUAUUACUAUUGACUGUCAACUUCCCAAAAGAUCCCAGAAAAACAUGUUAAUGGAACAAAACUAAGUUUAUUAGAUUUACUGUAGUAUAAGAGAAUACCACCUUGGUAGAGUCUUGAUAGUGUCUCAGGUUGACAAAGUCAAGGUCUGCACUGGAGGACUUCUAAGGUAGCUUCUGCAAGGUGGGGAGUAGCUUGGGACUGGGCAGGGUUUCUACCCUAACAAUUCUCAAUUGGUAAUCCCUGCAAGGCCAAGGAUCCUGAAGCAAAUCUUGAUAAGAAAGAUACUGGAUUUGAUAAGCUAGCUAUUUUAGUGGAUUUACUGCCUCAUUUUUGGUAAGCAAGUCUUCCUGAAGUAAGCAGGUGAACUGGGAGUACCGCACACAGCAUGGCUUCCAGCCUGAAGUGACUGACUGUAAAACGCCAGUGAAUAGAGAGGCUCAAGACUGAGUAAAGGAUCCUGCACACUCAACAAGCUCAUCCUUCUCUGCACCCGAGAUGUUUAGAGUCCCAGUUACAGAGCUUUCAGAAGGCAGAAUUCGUCCACAGCACACUAUUGAUGCCUAUCGAAGCUAAGGAAAUUAACUAAGAAGGGAAGAAAUAAUCUCCAUAGAAAAGGGAUUUGAGAACCCAGAAGAGAGUAUGGGCCUGGCAGUGUGCAUGUUGCAAACUAUGCACCAUCACUGGCCUAAAACGCACCUCUGUGUGCAUCAUUUACUAACGUUUAAAAAUCACCCUCUACUUGUUCUCCUGUGACCCUCAUUGGACUAUAUCCAGACAGCACUGAAAGUGAUAGCCAGAAAAAGUAGAAACAACCCAUGUGUUCAUCCACUGACGAACGGAUCAAAACAUGUGGCAUGUCCAUCCAUACAAGGGGAUAUUACCCAGCAGUCAAAAGGAGCAAAGAACUGAUGCAUACCACACCAUGGCUGAUUCUCAACGGUAUGUUCAGUGAAAGAAACCAGUCACAAAAGCCCAUGUACUGUAUGGUUCUAUUUAUAUGAACUGCGUGGAGGAGGCACCUAGUGGUUGCCAGGGGCUUGGGAUGGGGGUGGAGGGCAGGAAUGGGGAAUGCCUGCCGCCACCAUGGGGUUUCUUUGUGAGGUAAUUAAAAUGUUCUAAAA
Pongo pygmaeus (Bornean orangutan) is the source of this 1445-nucleotide long non-coding RNA. RefSeq lists it as uncharacterized. Lineage: Eukaryota; Metazoa; Chordata; Mammalia; Primates; Hominidae. The record is from RefSeq and is a predicted model, not a curated record. The transcript is spliced from 2 exons.